Ziziphus jujuba (common jujube) is the source of this 2035-nucleotide long non-coding RNA. RefSeq lists it as uncharacterized. The record is from RefSeq and is a predicted model, not a curated record. Lineage: Eukaryota; Viridiplantae; Streptophyta; Magnoliopsida; Rosales; Rhamnaceae. The transcript has 3 exons.
UUUCCUUUCUUCUUCCCCGAAACACCAAGCACGCAACAGUUAUUUUUUUUUUUUCUCCCCACCGGCCGUCCCUCUCUCUCUUCCGUGUUUUCAAAUUCCGGCCACCCAUAGCCCUCACGCGCCAGCCACCAAGGAAGCCCGCCACCUCACGAGCUUGGCCGCCAAGUUUCACGGCCAGCCGCCGCCGGACGCGCGCCGAUCGGGCCGGAGAAGCCGCCGGCCGGCCAAGUUUCUCUCUCCUCUUUUCUUGUGUUUUCCGGCCAGCCCACUCCCAAUUGAGCCUCCUAUCCCCCUAUUUUGGGUCCUCUGAAUCCAAAAAUGGCCUCCAAUCCCAGAAAUUCGAAGCGGUUUGCGAGAUAUGGGGAAGUGAACACCGGCCGAAACUUUCCGACCAAAUUCCGGCCACCUCCGGCGGAAUUGAGGUCGACGGAGACCGGAUUUGUGAUCCUCGUCCCACGAGCUUCGAUUCGGAGCACCGGUGAGUCGUAGAAUUGAUCCCGUAGUGGAUCAUGGGUUAAUUGCGUGCUCCAGGUUCCAGGUUGUCGGUGUUCAUUCGGAGCGGACUUGAUCUUCCUCGCUGUUUUACUUCGUGAAGUACCCUGUUAUUCUUUUAUUGCAGUUGUAAUAUUUCUUUCACUCUUGUUGUAUUUAUUUUGCACUGGAUUACUGUAUUUAUUUUUUUUAAGUGCUGCAAUUUGUGGAACCAAUUUGUAGUUUGUGGGAGGAAUAAGGGGAUAUUUUUGAAGUGUGUUUUCAGUGCAGGUAAAUUUGUGGUAAGUAAAUCCCUUAGGGGAGGUGCUGCCGGAUUUUCCGUUGGAAGGUUCGGUGGUAUUUCCCUGGGAUCAGGGCUGUCUAGGGUUCCGGAGGAGGAAUUCUGGACGGGUCCUGACAGUUGGUAUCAGAGCUCUAGGUUCUAGUAUUUCGAAGGGACUGUGCAUUGUUGUGUGUCCCAUCCAUGUCUAGUCUCUCGUUUUACCCGUGUGAAAGCUUUCUUUCUAUUUGUCUCGAAGUAAAUUCGUUGCCCGAGUUUGAAUAACUCUAAUCUUCGAGGGUGUCAAUUAGGAUCAUCUAGCCUAACGGGAAAUUCCUAUGGCCUAGUCGAUGGUCGAGGAUGCGUUUUCUUUUUGAAGGUCAAGCUUAUCAUCGUGAAUGGUAUCCGUUUCGUUCAUGGAGAAGAAUGAUGAUUGCCUAAGGAUGUGCGUCGAUCGAUUUCAAGGCGUCAAAAUAUUUUCCCGAUCGAUUAUCAAAAUUUAAAUGCUUUUCAAGGUGUUUUAUUCAAGUAUUUUUGGUUUGUGUUCAUACAUGUAUCUGUAUGUUAUAUUGUUUAAUAUUAUACUGCACCAUAUGGAGGCGGCGAACCAAUGUGGUCCAUGUAGAGCUAGCCCCAUGAUCAUGUUGCCUACGAGCUCGGGGAAUUGGACGGCCAAUAUAGGCAACCACCCUGGUUUGUAUUGGUAACAGAGUGUCGGCGACAGUUGGAAUCAUGGAUUACGUAACAUGUAGAAGGUGUUGUACGUACCUCCAUUACAAGCGUGCAUAUUUUAUUUUAUGCUAUGGAUUUUAAGAUAUGAAUUUCAAUGUGGAGUUUUAACAAUUGCCUAUGCAAGUUAGGUAUAUUUGAAAAAUAUAUUUUAUUAUUUGUUUUAUGUUAUGGUUUUUCCAAGAGCGACUUAAGGGUUAAGUAUCGCCAGUCGAGAAUCCAAAGCAGGGUAUCGUUGAGUUCAAAAAGGAGAUCUUAAAGGAAGCACGCGAUUCAAAGUAUGCGAUACACCCCAAGGGUACCAAGACGUAUGGAAUGCUCACUGGAUGACAUGGUGGUUUGGCAUGAUAAAGGAAGUUGCAAGAUCCGAAUAAAGGUACUUAAGUCACCGACAAGUAAAGUAGGGAGAUGUAAAUAUGGAUUUCGUGCUUAAACUUUCGUUCACAAAGAGAAGGUACGACAGCGUUGUGAGAAUCAAGCAAGAUCCGGAUAGCGACUAAAGUUCUACUUGGUGGUUGAUGAGGUUAAUGAGAUGAGGAUGAUUCCUUAGGCAUG